CCGAGGGAACUAGGUCAUUCGGCUAGGUCAAACUAGUAUACCGGAAUCCAGCAAGUUGUAUUAAAAUGCACUAAACAAGGAAAUGAGUUUGGUAAAACGUACCAACCCUAAAAUACUAUCGAAUGUGACAUAUUAGUGACACUAAAACCUAGUUUACCUAGAACGCAUCGAGAGUCGAUAUAUUAGGUGAUUAAGCAAAUAAUAGAUUUCAGUGAACUACUUAUCAAGCAUUAUCGUUAGAGACAGUUUAAUUUAGUACUGAAACACUUCAAAUUGUGUUUCUCAGUUAGUAAAGACUCAGGGAAAGGGAAGGAAACACUGAGUCCAGACCAGGAGACAGUCAUCAGAGGUAAGAAGAGCAUAGAGCAGUAAGUAAAUUUCCUUGAAGAUAUAUUCAGAUCAGCUCCAGGUAUAUCAUAGGUAUACCCAUGUACAUAGGUUUUGAUGUAUGCAUGUAAUAAUAUGUAUAUAAAUUAUUUGAGCAGUUGUAUAGAAACUCUUGUAAAAUAUUUUGGUAUGUAAUUAAAUGUAAAUUAUUGUAAAUGUAAAUUUGAGAUUUCAUUUA
Hevea brasiliensis (rubber tree) is the source of this 565-nucleotide long non-coding RNA. RefSeq lists it as uncharacterized. The record is from RefSeq and is a predicted model, not a curated record. The transcript is spliced from 2 exons. Lineage: Eukaryota; Viridiplantae; Streptophyta; Magnoliopsida; Malpighiales; Euphorbiaceae.